RNAcentral lists this ribosomal RNA (326 nucleotides) under uncultured eukaryote. RNAcentral describes it as "partial 18S ribosomal RNA". It matches the Rfam family "Eukaryotic small subunit ribosomal RNA", at positions 1470 to 1796 of the family's 1831-position model. The record is from RNAcentral.
CCCUUAGAUGUUCUGGGCUGCACGCGCGCUACACUGAUGCAUGCAACGAGUUUUCGACCUUGCCUGAAAGGGUUGGGUAAUCUGUUUAACAUGUGUCGUGAUGGGGAUAGACCAUUGCAAUUAUUGAUCUUCAACGAGGAAUUCCUAGUAAGCGCGAGUCAUCAGCUCGUGCUGAUUAUGUCCCUGCCCUUUGUACACACCGCCCGUCGCUCCUACCGAUUGAAUGAUCCGGUGAAUGAUUCGGACCAGCGUGCUGCUCAGAUCCUGCGCAGUGUGCUGGGAAGUCUAGUGAACCUUAUCACUUAGAGGAAGGAGAAGUCGUAACA